Molecule: ribosomal RNA, 559 nt
Filed under: Fusarium oxysporum
Lineage: Eukaryota; Fungi; Ascomycota; Sordariomycetes; Hypocreales; Nectriaceae
Description: eukaryotic LSU rRNA
Rfam family: 5.8S ribosomal RNA (bases 183-336)
Source: RNAcentral
UUCCGUAGGGGUAACCUGCGGAGGGAUCAUUACCGAGUUUACAACUCCCAAACCCCUGUGAACAUACCUUUAUGUUGCCUCGGCGGAUCAGCCCGCGCCCCGUAAAACGGGACGGCCCGCCGCAGGAACCACAAAACUCUGAUUUUAGUGUAACUUCUGAGUCUAAAAAACAAAUAAAUCAAAACUUUCAACAACGGAUCUCUUGGUUCUGGCAUCGAUGAAGAACGCAGCAAAAUGCGAUAAGUAAUGUGAAUUGCAGAAUUCAGUGAAUCAUCGAAUCUUUGAACGCACAUUGCGCCCGCCAGUAUUCUGGCGGGCAUGCCUGUUCGAGCGUCAUUUCAACCCUCAAGCCCCCGGGUUUGGUGUUGGGGAUCGGGCUGUACUCCAGCCCGGCCCCGAAAUCUAGUGGCGGUCUCGCUGCAGCCUCCAUUGCGUAGUAGCUAACACCUCGCAACUGGAACGCGGCGCGGCCAAGCCGUUAAACCCCCAACUUCUGAAUGUUGACCUCGGAUCAGGUAGGAAUACCCGCUGAACUUAAGCAUAUCAAUAAGCGGAGGAA